Molecule: long non-coding RNA, 593 nt
Organism: Lolium rigidum
Lineage: Eukaryota; Viridiplantae; Streptophyta; Magnoliopsida; Poales; Poaceae
Exons: 4
Source: RefSeq, a predicted model, not a curated record
CAGGUCUGGGGGAGCCAUGGCUAGCCCCAACCCGUUUCUCUCUCACUGAGCUGGAACUGCUACUUCGGUCGAUCUCUUCCUCCUGCUCAACAGCUGAAGCACAAACAGCCAGUGCAGAACCGUUCUGCCAGAACGCCUGCCUAACCUCGCCAUAUUUGGCCCUCUCAAGAAGACUUGUUUUCUCUAUGCCUAUAAGGUGGUUGAUGAAAUUCCAAGAAGGAUCUGGGGAUGGAUUGAUCUAGGCAAGCAAUGUGAUUUACAGCCAGCUUCAAAUCAUCAGCAACUUGCCAGGUGUUGAAGAGAAAAAAAGGAGAAAAUUGUUGUUGGGAGGCAAAAAUACUGACGAUGAGCUCUUAACCAGAUUAUCCGUCUGAAUAGUUUGUAUUCUUGCUAUACGACCUUGUUCGUUGCAUUCUUGGGUGUUUUGACAAGGAGCAAGUAAUGUUGGGAAUGGAAUAUUACGAUGAAAGCAUAUGCAAUAGUGCGUUGAAGUCAUUCCCUUCAGUUCUGAACUAGAGAGUGCAGCAGUGAAGAAAUGAAAGAAGCAUAAAGGAUGCAAAGUGAGCGUCUAUACACUUUUGGAAUUGGGAGAC